This is a long non-coding RNA of Papaver somniferum (opium poppy), 321 nucleotides long. RefSeq lists it as uncharacterized. The transcript is spliced from 3 exons. NCBI's taxonomy places the organism in Eukaryota, Viridiplantae, Streptophyta, Magnoliopsida, Ranunculales, Papaveraceae. The record is from RefSeq and is a predicted model, not a curated record.
AUAGAACCAGCCAUGAUGGAAGUACUGAAGACAUACUUUGAGAAUGCCAACAGCCUAAAUUCGGCUUGGAGUAUCAGAGAAGGAGAAGACCCGUACUUGUGGGAUAUUCGGAUUCACGGAGAUAUAAUAAGGCAUCUAAUGAACAACGAAUACUUAGAAUACCAAGUAGUACGCUACUACAGUUAUAGGUUGUUCAAGAAGCGGUAAAAUGAAAAGAUGGUUGAUAGUGUUGAACAUAGGUAUGCGGAGUCUGCAUUCAUGAUGCCAGAUGCUUGGUUCUUUGUUAAAACAAAGGAGAAAGAUGGGAUUGCCAAAUUUGUU